Long non-coding RNA from Papaver somniferum (opium poppy), 244 nucleotides. RefSeq lists it as uncharacterized. Lineage: Eukaryota; Viridiplantae; Streptophyta; Magnoliopsida; Ranunculales; Papaveraceae. The record is from RefSeq and is a predicted model, not a curated record. The transcript has 3 exons.
CUGAUUCUACAUAUUGCAGAGCUUUAGAAUUCAGCAUGGGCCAUGUGAAUCUUGUCAUGCUCAGGCUGAGAGGCUGCUUGAUUCGGCAAAAGAAAUGGAAGAUUCAAUUGCUGUCAACCUAAGUUCUCGGAGACUUGAGGUUAGUAGAGUGGAACUGCUUCUGCAGGUUGGCACAUUUUUUGUAGCUAUUGGUGCUCUUGUAGCAGGUAAUUUUUUUGAAACUAAAACACCACCUGGUAAUAGA